UGGGGAAUAUUGCGCAAUGGGGGAAACCCUGACGCAGCGACGCCGCGUGCGGGAUGAAGGCCUUCGGGUUGUAAACCGCUUUUGAUUGGGAGCAAGCUUUCGGGUGAGUGUACCUUUCGAAUAAGCGCCGGCUAACUACGUGCCAGCAGCCGCGGUAAUACGUAGGGCGCAAGCGUUAUCCGGAUUUAGUGGGCGUAAAGCGAGCGCAGGCGGUUAGAAAAGUCUGAAGUGAAAGGCAGUGGCUCAACCAUUGUAGGCUUUGGAAACUGUUUAACUUGAGUGCAGAAGAGGAAAGUGGAAUUCCAUGUGUAGCGGUGAAAUGCGCAGAGAUAUGGAGGAACACCAGUGGCGAAGGCGACUUUCUGGUCUGUAACUGACGCUGAUGUGCGAAAGCGUGGGGAUCAAACAGG
RNAcentral lists this ribosomal RNA (410 nucleotides) under Bacteroidota bacterium. RNAcentral describes it as "Bacteroidetes bacterium partial 16S ribosomal RNA". It matches the Rfam family "Bacterial small subunit ribosomal RNA", at positions 355 to 776 of the family's 1533-position model. The record is from RNAcentral. Lineage: Bacteria; Pseudomonadati; Bacteroidota.